GACAGAGGGCGCUAGCGUUGUUCGGAAUCACUGGGCGUAAAGCGCACGUAGGCGGAUUGUUAAGUCAGGGGUGAAAUCCCGAGGCUCAACCUCGGAAGUGCCUUUGAUACUGGCGAUCUAGAGUCCGGGAGAGGUGAGUGGAACUGCGAGUGUAGAGGUGAAAUUCGUAGAUAUUCGCAAGAACACCAGUGGCGAAGGCGGCUCACUGGCCCGGAACUGACGCUGAGGUGCGAAAGCGUGGGGAGCAAACAGG
RNAcentral lists this ribosomal RNA (253 nucleotides) under uncultured bacterium. RNAcentral describes it as "partial 16S ribosomal RNA". It matches the Rfam family "Bacterial small subunit ribosomal RNA", at positions 524 to 776 of the family's 1533-position model. The record is from RNAcentral.